GACGAACGCUGGCGGCGUGCUUAACACAUGCAAGUCGAACGAAGAGCGAUGGAAGCUUGCUUCUAUCAGUCUUAGUGGCGAACGGGUGAGUAACGCGUAAUCAACCUCCCCUUCAGAGGGGGACAACAGGUGGAAACGACUGCUAAUACCGCAUACUAUCUAAUCUCGGCAUCGAGGAGAGAAGAAAGGUGGCCUCUCCAUGUAAGGUAUGACUCAAGGCGGGGAUUGCGUCUGAUUAGCUAGUUGGAAGGGUAACGGCCCACCAAGGCGACGAUCAGUAGCCGGUCUGAGAGGAUGAACGGCCACAUUGGGACUGAGACACGGCCCAGACUCCUACGGGAGGCAGCAGUGGGGAAUCUUCCGCAAUGGACGAAAGUCUGACGGAGCAACGCCGCGUGAGUGAUGACGGCCUUCGGGUUGUAAAGCUCUGUUAUUCGGGACGAAAGGCCUUCUUGCGAAUAGUGAGAAGGAUUGACGUUACCGGAAUAGAAAGCCACGGCUAACUACUU
This 509-nucleotide ribosomal RNA is filed under the name uncultured bacterium. Its description in RNAcentral is "partial 16S ribosomal RNA". It matches the Rfam family "Bacterial small subunit ribosomal RNA", at positions 28 to 506 of the family's 1533-position model. The record is from RNAcentral.